Molecule: ribosomal RNA, 773 nt
Filed under: uncultured Neocallimastigales
Lineage: Eukaryota; Fungi; Neocallimastigomycota; Neocallimastigomycetes; Neocallimastigales
Description: partial large subunit ribosomal RNA
Rfam family: Eukaryotic large subunit ribosomal RNA
Source: RNAcentral
AUGUGAUCGUCUCUCGCAUAUCAAUAAGCGGAGGAAAAGAAACUAACAAGGAUUCCCCUAGUAACGGCGAGUGAAGCGGGAAGAGCUCAAAUUUGAAAUCUUAAAGGGUUUCCCUUUACGAAUUGUAGUUUAAAGAAGUGUUUUCUGUUGAGGUUUUGGUAAAAGUUCUUUGGAAUAGGACAUCAUAGAGGGUGAGAAUCCCGUAUUUGACCUUUACUUUCAACUUUGUGAUACACUUUCAAAGAGCCGGAUUGUUUGGGAAUGCAGUCCAAAAUGGGUGGUAAAUUUCAUCUAAAGCUAAAUAUUGGCGAGAGACCGAUAGCGAACAAGUACCGUGAGGGAAAGAUGAAAAGAACUUUGAAAAGAGAGUUAAACAGUACGUGAAAUUGUCAAAAGGGAAGCGUUUGACACCAGUGUUGUUUUUCUGAAAAUCAAUUAAAGAACUGUUUAUGCUAAGUUGUUUAGACUUUAUCAGCUAACUGUUUAGUUUUGAGCUUUUCUUUAAUGCACUUUUCAGUUAACAAGUCAACAUCAAUUUCUUUUGCUGUAAAAAAGCUUGAGGAAGGUGGCUUGAGAUUCGUCUUAAGUGUUUAUAGCCUCUUGCCUAUGCAGUCGGAGAGAUUGAGGUCUGCAGCGUAGAUCCUUCGGGGCUAAAUGCAUUUGUGCUAAGUUAUAGCAUUUUAUAGACAACUUGUUGACUAUGAUUUGUCUUGUAGCUUACUCGCUUAUGUUAUUUUACCUACGCUUAGGAUGUUGACACACGCGCGUGCUCG